RNAcentral lists this ribosomal RNA (210 nucleotides) under Triticum aestivum (bread wheat). RNAcentral describes it as "partial small subunit ribosomal RNA". The record is from RNAcentral. Lineage: Eukaryota; Viridiplantae; Streptophyta; Magnoliopsida; Poales; Poaceae.
AUGGCAAAAACAUGUGAGAAAGCUGUUUCAUUUUUUGGAAUUGUUCAGCGCAUAUAUAUAUUAUUUGCUGGUUCUACGAAAAGGUGGAAUGUUUUGCUUAAACAUGUUCCUAGUUUGACUGUGAAAUCAUUGUCCAACACUCGCUGGGAGAGUCGAAUCAAACGUGUUACAACAAUAAGAUAUCAAGGCAUUGAGUUAAGGUCAGCUUUG